AAGUCGUAACAAGGUUUCCGUAGGUGAACCUGCGGAAGGAUCAUUACUGAGAGCCCGGUAUAGGUAGCCCUAACCAGCUGCCUACAUCGUGUGCCUUCUUCUACCCUUUGUUUAUGAGCACCUUUUUUUAUUCCUCGGUAGGGAGACCUGCCGCUGGAAUCAUUCUUAAACUCUUGCAUCUAGCAUUCUAAAUUCUGAUAACCUAAUUAAUUAUUACAACUUUCAACAAUGGAUCUCUUGGUUCUG
RNAcentral lists this unclassified non-coding RNA (246 nucleotides) under air metagenome. RNAcentral's name for it is "partial contains small subunit ribosomal RNA, internal transcribed spacer 1, and 5.8S ribosomal RNA". The stretch from base 1 to 46 matches the Rfam family "Eukaryotic small subunit ribosomal RNA", at positions 1786 to 1831 of the family's 1831-position model. The record is from RNAcentral.